Esox lucius (northern pike) is the source of this 806-nucleotide long non-coding RNA. NCBI's taxonomy places the organism in Eukaryota, Metazoa, Chordata, Actinopteri, Esociformes, Esocidae. The record is from Ensembl.
GUCCCGCAAAAAGAGUGCUGUGCAGUGGAUUGUACCUACAGUUUUGCUAAUUGUGUGUUACAAAAUUGCAAACUGAGUGCAAAGCAGUGUUUGUGCUUUUAGUUUUGCAAACUCAGUGAGUGAGUAAUAGUUUUGGAAAUUGUGCUAGGACAAUCACGGUUAGGGUUUAAGCAUUCAGAAAAAACUGUAAUGCAUUUUGAUUGGUGCUACUUAGUAGAACUGUUUCCAUUCAACACUGCGCAGAAAUAUCUGUAUAAGAAGAGAUGUGAAAUGGUGGUCCACAUUUUUUUUGAUAGUACUGACAUCUGUCUUUUGCCCCCCAACCCCCUCCACACACAACCUUUAAUUCCACAGCCACAGUGACCACCUGUAAUGCUACUCAGAAGUCAUCACAGUGUUUUGUUGCUUUGGGUGGAACUCUGGAUCUUAAGCUAAUGACGAGUGUCAGUGGAUGUGACCUGCGGUUUAAGAAAAACCGUACUCAAGGUCCUGAACAGAUAUUUAUCAUGAAAAAAAACAAGUGUCCAUCAAAGGACCCACUGAAGGUAGAUCAGAGUUCUUUAUGAACAAUGGGACCUUCAGGUUAACCAAUGUUGAGAGGGCUGAUUCUGGACAAUACAUCCUGGAGGUCUACAAUUCUAAUGGGUCAAGUUUAGGAACCACAAUAAUACAACUGGAUAUCAAAGGCAAGUAACAAAAUAGUAAUGUUAACAAUAUUUUGUUUGCUGUUUUCUAUUGUUUAAUAUAUAAAUAAUAAGUGAUAAUGAUAAUUAUAAAACAGAUGUAUUGUUUUCAUUUGACACAAC